GACGAACGCUGGCGGCGUGCCUAAUACAUGCAAGUUGAGCGCUGAAGGUUGGUACUUGUACCAACUGGAUGAGCAGCGAACGGGUGAGUAACGCGUGGGGAAUCUGCCUUUGAGCGGGGGACAACAUUUGGAAACGAAUGCUAAUACCGCAUAAAAACUUUAAACACAAGUUUUAAGUUUGAAAAAUGCAAUUGCAUCACUCAAAGAUGAUCCCGCGUUGUAUUAGCUAGUUGGUGAGGUAAAGGCUCACCAAGGCGAUGAUACAUAGCCGACCUGAGAGGGUGAUCGGCCACAUUGGGACUGAGACACGGCCCAAACUCCUACGGGAGGCAGCAGUAGGGAAUCUUCGGCAAUGGACGAAAGUCUGACCGAGCAACGCCGCGUGAGUGAAGAAGGUUUUCGGAUCGUAAAACUCUGUUGGUAGAGAAGAACGUUGGUGAGAGUGGAAAGCUCAUCAAGUGACGGUAACUACCCAGAAAGGGACGGCUAACUACGU
RNAcentral lists this ribosomal RNA (496 nucleotides) under uncultured bacterium. RNAcentral describes it as "partial 16S ribosomal RNA". It matches the Rfam family "Bacterial small subunit ribosomal RNA", at positions 28 to 506 of the family's 1533-position model. The record is from RNAcentral.